This 497-nucleotide ribosomal RNA is filed under the name uncultured bacterium. Its description in RNAcentral is "partial 16S ribosomal RNA". It matches the Rfam family "Bacterial small subunit ribosomal RNA", at positions 28 to 507 of the family's 1533-position model. The record is from RNAcentral.
GAUGAACGCUGGCGGCGUGCCUAAUACAUGCAAGUCGAGCGAACGGACGAGAAGCUUGCUUCUCUGAUGUUAGCGGCGGACGGGUGAGUAACACGUGGAUAACCUACCUAUAAGACUGGGAUAACUUCGGGAAACCGGAGCUAAUACCGGAUAAUAUUUUGAACCGCAUGGUUCAAAAGUGAAAGACGGUCUUGCUGUCACUUAUAGAUGGAUCCGCGCUGCAUUAGCUAGUUGGUAAGGUAACGGCUUACCAAGGCAACGAUUCAUAGCCGACCUGAGAGGGUGAUCGGCCACCCUGGAACCUGGACACGGUCCACACCCCCACGGGAGGCAACAGGAGGGAAUCCUCCGCAAUGGGCGAAAGCCUGACGGAGCAACGCCGCGUGAGUGAUGAAGGUCUUCGGAUCGUAAAACUCUGUUAUUAGGGAAGAACAUAUGUGUAAGUAACUGUGCACAUCUUGACGGUACCUAAUCAGAAAGCCACGGCUAACUACGUG